Molecule: ribosomal RNA, 698 nt
Filed under: uncultured marine archaeon
Lineage: Archaea
Description: bacterial SSU rRNA
Rfam family: Archaeal small subunit ribosomal RNA
Source: RNAcentral
AGUCAACCUACCCUAUGGACGGGAAUAAUCUCGGGAAACUGAGGAUAAUUCCAGAUAGAACACUAUGCCUGGAACGGUUUGUGUUCCAAAUGAUUUAUCGCCGUAGGAUGGGACUGCGUCCUAUCAGUUUGUUGGUGAGGUAAUGGCCCACCAAGACUAUUACAGGUACGGGCUCUGAGAGGAGUAGCCCGGAGAUGGGUACUGAGACACGGACCCAGGCCCUAUGGGGCGCAGCAGGCGAGAAAACUUUGCAAUGUGCGAAAGCACGACAAGGUUAAUCCGAGUGGUUCCUGCUAAAGGAACCUUUUGACGGUCCUAAAAACACCGUUGAAUAAGGGGUGGGCAAGUUCUGGUGUCAGCCGCCGCGGUAAAACCAGCACCUCAAGUGGUCAGGAUGAUUAUUGGGCCUAAAGCAUCCGUAGCCGGCUCUGUGAGUUUUCGGUUAAAUCUGUGCGCUCAACGUACAGGCUGCCGGGAAUACUGCAGAGCUAGGGAGUGGGAGAGGUAGACGGUACUUGGUAGGAAGGGGUAAAAUCCUUUGAUCUAUUGAUGACCACCUGUGGCGAAGGCGGUCUACCAGAACACGUCCGACGGUGAGGGAUGAAAGCUGGGGGAACAAACCGGAUUAGAUACCCGGGUAGUCCCAGCUGUAAACCAUGCAAACUCAAUGAUGCAUUGGCUUGAAGCCAAUGCAGUGU